UACGAGGGGGGCAAGCGUUGUUCGGAAUUACUGGGCGUAAAGGGCUCGUAGGCGGCCAACUAAGUCGGAUGUGAAAUCCCCAGGCUUAACCUGGGAACUGCAUCUGAUACUGGAUGGCUUGAAUCCGGGAGAGGGAUGCAGAAUUCCAGGUGUAGCGGUGAAAUGCGUUGAUAUCCAUAGGAACUCCGGUGGCGAAGGCGGCGUGCUGGACCUCUUCUGACGCUGAUGCGCGAAAGCCAGGGGAGCGAACGGG
RNAcentral lists this ribosomal RNA (253 nucleotides) under uncultured bacterium. RNAcentral's name for it is "partial 16S ribosomal RNA". It matches the Rfam family "Bacterial small subunit ribosomal RNA", at positions 524 to 776 of the family's 1533-position model. The record is from RNAcentral.